RNAcentral lists this long non-coding RNA (609 nucleotides) under Pan troglodytes (chimpanzee). Its description in RNAcentral is "long non-coding RNA NONPTRT017437". The record is from RNAcentral. Lineage: Eukaryota; Metazoa; Chordata; Mammalia; Primates; Hominidae.
CUGGAAGUGACAGAAAAGCUAGUUACAAGCGUGGGCAGCUUUUCUCUCUAAGCCUCAGUUUUCUCAACUGUAAAAUGAAGAUAAUACCAACUUCAUGGAGUUGCUGUGAAGACUAACAUAAUAAUGUAUCCACAACACCUAACACGUAGUAUGUGCUCAAUAAACAGUAAAAUCAAUCAAGCUGAAUUUAAUCACUUAAAUAUUAAAUAGGAGAAAUGACACCUGUUUUUCAACCAUUUAUUUGUAGGACAGAGGUUUUUUUUGGGGAAAUUAAUGUGGUUCUUUCAUGAAAUUUUCCAUUCAUUAAGCCAUUAAGGAAAACUCUAUCCAGCAACAGGAGCUCACAUUGAUUGCUGGUGAGAAUUCCAAAAAUACUUUGGAAGAUAGUUUGGUAGUUUCUUACAAAGAUAACCACUCUCAUCUUCCCACCUUGCCCUCCGAAAGUGCUAGGAUUACAGGCAAGCCACCCACUGCAUAGCGAUAGUAAAAAGAUCAGUGGUUUUCAGGGGUUCAGGAGGAGAGAGGAACAAAGGGAUGAAUUGAUGGGGCAGAGGAGAUUUUAGGGCAGUGAAACUUUUGUGUGAUACUGGGAUGGUAGACACGUGAUAU